Small nuclear RNA from Lycium barbarum (goji berry), 105 nucleotides. The record is from RefSeq and is a predicted model, not a curated record. Lineage: Eukaryota; Viridiplantae; Streptophyta; Magnoliopsida; Solanales; Solanaceae.
GAUACACCCUUGUUUCAUUGCAUAACAUUGGAACGAUGUAGAAAAGAUUAGCAUAGACCCUGCGCAAGGAUGACACACACAAAUCGAGAAUGGUCCAAAUAUUUC